CCACACCAAAAAAAUACCCACGUGAAUGUAUUCUUUAUAAGGCUCGUGCUAGGUUGUUUUUCGGAACGACCCGGCUAGCCGAAGGUUUCGCAAGGAACCGAUGACUUUAAAUCCCUUUAAAUAAAAUACUGAAAACUUAGCCGUCAGAAAUGAUAGCUUUUAAUUAAAAUAC
This 172-nucleotide unclassified non-coding RNA is filed under the name Aphanomyces salsuginosus. RNAcentral's name for it is "partial miscellaneous RNA". The record is from RNAcentral. Lineage: Eukaryota; Oomycota; Saprolegniomycetes; Saprolegniales; Verrucalvaceae.